ACCUUUCCAACUCACACAACCGAAGAAAAAACUUGCAAAACAUUUUCCAGGAUUCCAAAUACAGUAAAUUAUGAAGAAUGUGUUGUAUGCUGAUUUUCUCAACAACUUGCAGCAAACAAGUUAUGCAGACAUGCUGGAUUUUGCAGUGCAGCAUAUCAAAGGCCUUCAAAAUGAGGUGGAGAAACUCCACAAAGAAAUGGAAAAUUGUACCUGUGGAUGCGAAAAAUCAACCCCAUGAUUGUGUGAAAAUGGGGGCCUGGAGCGAUGGGCAAUUCUUUGCUCUCUGUAGGAAAAAUCAUCACUUCACGGCAAGGCAACCGAAAGUUAGAUUGUCUAUUAGAGCACCAUGAUGUUCGGCUGAAAUGGGAUGAACGUUAACCCGACAUAAAUGUGAAAAAAUUUUUUGAUUCAAGGAAUUUGAAGGCAGGGACUCAGGCAGGCUAAAGUUAUCUUACCAAAUUUCGGUUAACAACCGUAAAGUUAGGGAAUCAAACCCAGAACUGUAUAUAGUGAAGUGAUAUUGUUCACUUGUAGUUAAUCAGAGAUGAUGCAUGUAAAAAUGCUGUUUAAUUUCCCCUU
Molecule: long non-coding RNA, 579 nt
Organism: Populus euphratica (Euphrates poplar)
Lineage: Eukaryota; Viridiplantae; Streptophyta; Magnoliopsida; Malpighiales; Salicaceae
Exons: 2
Source: RefSeq, a predicted model, not a curated record